GAAGAAGAAAAAAAACUUGUUAAAAAGAUAAAGGACCAUUUACCUCUUGCUGUGGUGGGUAGUAAUACUAUCAUUGAAGUUAAUGGCAAAAGGGUCAUAGGAAGGCAGUAUCCUUGGAGUGUUGCUGAAGUUGAAAAUGGUGAACAUUGUGAUUUUACAGUUUUAAGAAAUAUGUUGAUAAGAACACACGCAGGACUUGAAAGAUGUUACUAAUAAUGUCCACUACGAGAACUAUGGAAUCAGAAAACUGGCAGCUGUGACUUAUCAUGGAGUUGAUAACAAGAAGAAUAAAGGGCAGCUCACUAAGAGCCCUCUGGCACAAAUGGAAGAAGAAAGAAGGGAGCAAGUAGCUAAAAUUAAGAAGAUGGAGAUGGAGAUGGAGCAGGUGUUUGAGAUGAAGGUCAAAGAAAAAGUUCAAAAACUGAAGGACUCUGAAGCUGAGGCCUUCAGGAAGUGUCGAGUCUGGGACGCCCAGCGCGGGCCCGAGCAGGGGGAAGGGAAGCGCAGCUCGGUCCGCGUGGGUGGAGGGGACGUGAAGCCGCCCUGAGAUGAUGGUUGAGGAAGGGCUCUACGGCUCCCAAGCUAGGCCAAAUGCCUCCGGCGGCCGCGCCCGGGCGCCCCUUCCCCUGUGGGGCAACCCUAGCUUGGGACGCGUGAACCACCUCCGUAGCUGCCCCACCAGCACCCCCAGCCGUGCGCCCCUGCACCAUGCAGCUGCCCUGCGCAUGGAGCCGCGAGGGACAGCAGGCCCAGCCCUCAGCACCACCUGCCUGCCAGGAGGUUCGGGAAACUGGCGCCGCAGCGGAGAGGGCAUCUGUCCAACGCCUCCCCCGGGGCUCAGCUGCGGGCCCCCAGGCAUAGGCACCCAUGACCCUUCUGUGUUGUUUGUCUUUGUAUAGUCUGCAGAUGUGGAUCCUGACUCCUGAGAGAAGUAGCUCACCGUGACGAAGCUGCGUUUGCUUUUAUCGAUUUGCAAAUCAAAGAAGGGGGACAUAUUGGGAGAAGGCCCCCCAAAAUCUGGCCAUAAACUGGCCACAAAACUGGCCAUAAAAUCUCUGCAGCACUGUGACAUGCUCAUGAUGGCCAUAACGCCCACGCUGGAAGGUUUUGGGUUUACCGGAAUGAAGGCAAGGAACACCUGGCCUGCCCAGGGCAGAAAACCACUUAAAGGCAUUCUUAAACCACAAACAGUAGCAUGAGCGAUCUGUGCCUUAAGGGCAUGUUCCUGCUGCAGAUAACUAGCCAGACCCACCCCUUUAUUUCAGGCCAUCCCUUCAUUU
Molecule: long non-coding RNA, 1280 nt
Filed under: Homo sapiens (human)
Lineage: Eukaryota; Metazoa; Chordata; Mammalia; Primates; Hominidae
Description: non-protein coding lnc-IGFBP3-4:6
Source: RNAcentral